GAAAGGUGACUAUAUUGUCUUCCAUUUCAUAUGCAUGCAUAGGGUUUACAGAUAAAGCUUCCCUGUUCAUGCAUGUUUCUUUCCUGAAGUUGCUUCUUAGUGACCAAUUCAUCCAUGUGGUCUAAAACAAGAAAACCAUGAAAAUGACGAAACAGAUAUAAUGAGUAUUUAAACUAUGGGUGCUGUAAUGAGUAUUUAAACUAUGGGUGCUGUCAGUUUGCAAAAAUGAAUGAUUUUUUGUUUCAUCCAUAUUAAGUUGCUGUCCGUAGCAUAGUCUGGGGACAGAAAAGUAAUAGCACAUAUUACAAGAGGAAGGAUAAUUAUGGGGAUCAAGGAUGUAAAUGAUGUAGUCAGUUAACAGAAAUUUAACAAAUAUUGUUUGGUGUAUUAAUAUACAUAUGGUGAUGCAUAAAAAUACUUCUUACCUACAUAAUUGCUUUUAGGAUACUAAU
This 452-nucleotide long non-coding RNA is filed under the name Coffea arabica (coffee). Its description in RNAcentral is "long non-coding RNA (CARA_LNC003736)". Lineage: Eukaryota; Viridiplantae; Streptophyta; Magnoliopsida; Gentianales; Rubiaceae. The record is from RNAcentral.